UGACAGAAGUGUACAUGCUGUUCUUCCAAGCCACCGUACCAACUUUCACUUCUUUCAACUUGCUGCUUCAGAGAGAGCAGUCAUCAAUAUUUUUGUUACAUGAUGAGAUGGUGAAAUUCGUACGCAAGCUAUGUUCCAAGUUUAUGGUUCCAGCAGCUCUGCAGUGCCAUGAGGAGCCUUGUGAAAUUGCCUUUAAAGAAAAGGCAAACCAUUUACCAGGAAGAAAGUUGAACAUUGGGUUCACAACCAGGGCUAAACUUAACAGAUUACUCGACGAGGGUGACAUCACACCACAGCAGGUGGAUUCAUUCCAUGAAGCUGUGUUGUGUUUCCUGACAAGUGCUGUGGACUAUGCACUUAAGAAGCUGCCACUGUAAGAGCC
Molecule: long non-coding RNA, 382 nt
Organism: Coregonus clupeaformis (lake whitefish)
Lineage: Eukaryota; Metazoa; Chordata; Actinopteri; Salmoniformes; Salmonidae
Exons: 3
Source: RefSeq, a predicted model, not a curated record